RNAcentral lists this ribosomal RNA (459 nucleotides) under uncultured bacterium. RNAcentral's name for it is "SSU rRNA". It matches the Rfam family "Bacterial small subunit ribosomal RNA", at positions 26 to 518 of the family's 1533-position model. The record is from RNAcentral.
AGAAUCAACGCUGGCGGCGUGCCUAACACAUGCAAGUCGCACGAGAAAGGGACUUCGGUCCUGAGUAAAGUGGCGCACGGGUGAGUAACACGUGACUAAUCUACCCUCGAGUGGGGAAUAACCUAGGGAAACCUGGGCUAAUACCGCAUAACACUUACGAGUCAAAGCAGCAAUGCGCUUGGGGAGGAGGUCGCGGCAGAUUAGUUAGUUGGCGGGGUAAUGGCCCACCAAGACGAUGAUCUGUAUCCGGCCUGAGAGGGCGCACGGACACACUGGAACUGAAACACGGUCCAGACUCCUACGGGAGGCAGCAGUGGGGAAUUUUGCGCAAUGGGGGAAACCCUGACGCAGCAACGCCGCGUGGAGGAUGAAGUCUCGUUGGACGUAAACUCCUUUCGACAGGGACGAUAAUGACGGUACCUGUAGAAGAAGCCCGGCUAACUUCGUGCCAGCAGCCGC